RNAcentral lists this ribosomal RNA (1444 nucleotides) under uncultured marine bacterium. RNAcentral's name for it is "16S ribosomal RNA". It matches the Rfam family "Bacterial small subunit ribosomal RNA". The record is from RNAcentral.
GAGUUUGAUCCUGGCUCAGAACGAACGCUGGCGGCAGGCCUAACACAUGCAAGUCGAGCGCACCCUUCGGGGCGAGCGGCGGACGGGUUAGUAACGCGUGGGAAUGUACCCUUUUCUACGGAAUAGCCAUUGGAAACGAUGAGUAAUACCGUAUAUGCCCUUUGGGGGAAAGAUUUAUCGGAGAAGGAUCAGCCCGCGUUAGAUUAGAUAGUUGGUGGGGUAAUGGCCUACCAAGUCUACGAUCUAUAGCUGGUUUUAGAGGAUGAUCAGCAACACUGGGACUGAGACACGGCCCAGACUCCUACGGGAGGCAGCAGUGGGGAAUCUUAGACAAUGGGGGCAACCCUGAUCUAGCCAUGCCGCGUGUGUGAUGAAGGCCCUAGGGUCGUAAAGCACUUUCGCCAGAGAUGAUAAUGACAGUAUCUGGUAAAGAAACCCCGGCUAACUCCGUGCCAGCAGCCGCGGUAAUACGGAGGGGGUUAGCGUUGUUCGGAAUUACUGGGCGUAAAGCGCACGUAGGCGGAUUAGUAAGUUAGAGGUGAAAUCCCAGGGCUCAACCCUGGAACUGCCUUUAAUACUGCUAGUCUUGAGUUCGAGAGAGGUAAGUGGAAUUCCGAGUGUAGAGGUGAAAUUCGUAGAUAUUCGGAGGAACACCAGUGGCGAAGGCGGCUUACUGGCUCGAUACUGACGCUGAGGUGCGAAAGCGUGGGUAGCGAACAGGAUUAGAUACCCUGGUAGUCCACGCCGUAAACGAUGACAACUAGCUGUUGGGAGACUAUGUCUUUCAGUGGCGCAGCUAACGCUUUAAGUUGUCCGCCUGGGGAGUACGGCCGCAAGGCUAAAACUCAAAUGAAUUGACGGGGACCCGCACAAGCGGUGGAGCAUGUGGUUUAAUUCGAUGCAACGCGAAAAACCUUACCUACUCUUGACAUACUUGGAGGCUCUUGUAAUGAGAGUGUGCCUUUUGGAACCAAGAUACAGGUGCUGCAUGGCUGUCGUCAGCUCGUGUCGUGAGAUGUUCCGUUAAGUCGGAUAACGAGCGCAACCCUUACCCUUAUUUGCCAGCGAUUCGGUCGGGAACUAUAAGGGGACUGCCGGUGAUAAACCGGAGGAAGGUGAGGACGACGUCAAGUCAUCAUGGCCCUUACGAGUAGGGCUACACACGUGCUACAAUGGGAGAUACAGACGGACGCUAAGCCGCGAGGUGGUGCUAAUCCUAAAAAGUCUUUCGUAGUCCGGAUUGGAGUCUGCAACUCGACUCCAUGAAGUCGGAAUCGCUAGUAAUCGCGGAUCAGCAUGCCGCGGUGAAUACGUUCUCGGGUCUUGUACACACCGCCCGUCACACCAUGGAAGUGGAUUGCACCAGAAGUAGAUAGUCUAACCUUAGGGAGGGCGUUUACCACGGUGUGCUUCAUGACUGGGGUGAAGUCGUAACAAGGUAACC